UUUCAGGCUCUGAACGGCUGGAUGACUCGGGAAUGCAAGUGAAACGAGGCUAUGCUAACUGCUGAGAGCAUGGCUUUGGGGGUCUGGAAAGGAGCCUAAAGCCCUGGAUGCUUUGGCCCAUGUCUGUGACCUAUCACAGAUUCCAUGCAUUUCCUACGUGCUGUGUCUGUCUCUGGACUGAGAUCACCCAGGAGGCAGAGAGGAGGCUGGAAGGGUGGAUCUCACUGGGCUUGGCCGACUGGGUCCCAUCGCUGCCUUCUGUGUGGAAAGGCUAGGCACAGAGCACAGGGGAAAGCUUCAGAGCAUUUCAGCUGAUUUCCAUUCCAGGCAACUUUUGCUUCCCUUCAGCAGCCACCUGAGCAACAGGAUCUAAGCGCAGCUCAGCUCUGGAUUCAACAGAAGAGGACCAGGGGCUGGUUUCUGCUUCACUUUUAUACCUUCCCUGCCGCACCUUACUUCUCCAACAGAGGCUAUGCUUGUGGCUGAAGAGGCAUUUUUCUUGGCUUUAGGAAUAAUAAUAAUAAUCCUUACUUGCUUACAAUUGAUUCCAUAACCUUUCCCCUAGUCUAGUGGUCCUCAACCCUUUUAAACUGGAGGCCCCCCUCUGAAAACUCUAGCUCUUAGUCUUCACUCCUUCUCUGACUGCAGAAAAAGACCAGAGCAGUUUUUUUUCUGGUGCAAAGAUCUCAGAUCCCAAGAGGGCAGGAUGUUUUUGACCCUGUGGAUUCUUUUUGGAUGCCUCUGGGUUUAUCUUGUGAAUCAUGUUCGCACACCUCUCAGCACUCACACUGUGUGGCACCCUGGAAAGGAUCUCAAGGGUGCCAGGGCACCCUGCUUGUGAAUCACUGCUGUAGCCCCAGUGAAAUGCACUCAGGGCUGGGACUGGGAACAGGGCAAACAAGUGUCCCUUGCUCAAGGCACGCUUGACCAUGAGUUUCUCUGGAGGUGUACACGCACAUGUACACGUGGUUCUGGGCUCUGAAUAUGGGUCCUGCCAAGAACACAGCACCUACUUUAAACUGACUUUCUUGAGAGCUGAGGACACUCUUGUCUCACAAAGCUGGCCCUUCAAAUGGUGUUCACCUCAGCUACAAGCUUUCCCCAGCAGGUUCCAGCCAGAUGGACUGUAAACCAUUUAAAACAAGCACACAUGCACACACACACACGAGCAGCAGGCAGCCAAAAGUUAUGAAAAUUAGAUCCUUUAUUUAUAUUUUUUUUAUCACAAGUUGCUCUUCAGCGGUCAAUACAUACUAGAAUAAACUCUGUGAAAAUAUACACAAAAAAUACAUAUUUCCCAUGAAAUCUUCCUUUAUAAUAAAUAGAUGGGAACACGUGCGCGGCUGAUCGCUGUAAUGCUCCGUGUCUGUUUGGGUGUUCAGUCUGUUGAUUUAUUUUUAAUCUCUUGAAAGACUGGGGGAGUUCCUCAUCCCCUAAAAGGUCGAGAUAAAUAAUGCAUGAGGCAAUCCUCCCUCCUGAUUUUUUUCCCUUUUUCCUCGACAUUUCCCCCCCCCCCUUUUGCUAGAGAGUUCAGCCUAAAUUUCCACGCUUGCAUUCAGUGGUUACAAAGCCUACAAAUUAUACAAUGACUUCUAACCUGGACUUCUAACAAAACAACUUUUUUCCCCCCACCCCCCUAUGAUAAAUCAUAAGAGACAGAUGGCAAAAUAGGGGUGGGGGGGAGGAAAGAGAAGGACAGGACAAAAGGCAUUGUGACCAAUCUGGGAAACAGAACAAAGUGCACAUCAGAGAGAGAGAGAAAAGAAGUUUGGUUUGACAGGUGAAAUUCCCACAGCCUUCAGGCUGCAAUGGGAAGAAAGCAGAUGCCAUGCAUUGCAAAUCGGUGGGGAACAGGGUUACUGGGAACUGAAGGCAGAGGCUCAGACACAUUUCUUUCCAGAAGAAAUGAACAUCUCUGUGAGCAACCCAAGGUGAUGAGAGAGCAGGAACCAGUUGUGUCUCCCUUGCACAUUCACAUAAGAGCCCCAGAGGGUGCCGGGCUUGCCUACACUCCUGUCCCCAAGCCACCCUGCAUCCAGGCCACCCGGGACAUCCCCAGCACAGGCACUGCCCUUCUCAGCUGGCUUCACUACAGGUGGGGGGGGGCUGCUCCUAACCCUAUCUAGAGCCAGCUCAAGGGGGAGCCUCGCCCAUGGUUCCAGCCUCUCCGAGAAACUGCUGCACA
Alligator sinensis (Chinese alligator) is the source of this 2185-nucleotide long non-coding RNA. RefSeq lists it as uncharacterized. The transcript is spliced from 3 exons. NCBI's taxonomy places the organism in Eukaryota, Metazoa, Chordata, Crocodylia, Alligatoridae. The record is from RefSeq and is a predicted model, not a curated record.